Molecule: ribosomal RNA, 447 nt
Filed under: uncultured bacterium
Lineage: Bacteria
Description: bacterial SSU rRNA
Rfam family: Bacterial small subunit ribosomal RNA
Source: RNAcentral
CCCAGACUCCUACGGGAGGCAGCAGUGGGGGAUAUUGCACAAUGGGGGGAACCCUGAUGCAGCGACGCCGCGUGGGUGAAGAAGUAUUUCGGUAUGUAAAGCCCUAUCGGCAGGGAAGAAAUUGGACGGUACCUGACUAAGGAGCCCCGGCUAACUACGUGCCAGCAGCCGCGGUAAUACGUAGGGGGCAAGCGUUAUCCGGAUUCACUGGGUGUAAAGGGAGCGUAGACGGCCAUGCAAGCCUGGAGUGAAAGCCCGGGGCCCAACCCCGGGACUGCUCUGGGAACUGUGCGGCUGGAGUGCGGGAGGGGCAGGCGGAAUUCCUGGUGUAGCGGUGAAAUGCGUAGAUAUCAGGAGGAACACCGGCGGCGAAGGCGGCCUGCUGGACCGCGACUGACGUUGAGGCUCGAAAGCGUGGGGAGCAAACAGGAUUAGAUACCCUCGUAU